AUACGGAGGAUCCGAGCGUUAUCCGGAUUUAUUGGGUUUAAAGGGUGCGCAGGCGGCCAUUUAAGUCAGCGGUUAAAUCGUGGGGCUCAACCCCAUUCUGCCGUUGAUACUGGGUGGCUUGAUUGCGGUCGAGGUUGGCGGAAUUCGUUGUGUAGCGGUGAAAUGCAUAGAUAUGACGAAGAACACCGAUUGCGUAGGCAGCUGACCAGACCGCAAAUGACGCUCAUGCACGAAAGUGCGGGGAUCGAACAGGAUUAGAUGCCCUGGUAGUCCGCACAGUAAACGAUGAAUACUUGUUUUCGGCGAUAUAAUGUCGGAGGCAAAGCGAAAGCGAUAAGUAUUCCACCUGGGGAGUACGCCGGCAACGGUGAAACUCAAAUGAAUUGACGGGG
This 392-nucleotide ribosomal RNA is filed under the name uncultured bacterium. Its description in RNAcentral is "partial 16S ribosomal RNA". It matches the Rfam family "Bacterial small subunit ribosomal RNA", at positions 523 to 918 of the family's 1533-position model. The record is from RNAcentral.